RNAcentral lists this ribosomal RNA (322 nucleotides) under uncultured Granofilosea. RNAcentral describes it as "SSU rRNA". The stretch from base 112 to 322 matches the Rfam family "Eukaryotic small subunit ribosomal RNA", at positions 744 to 955 of the family's 1831-position model. The record is from RNAcentral. Lineage: Eukaryota; Cercozoa.
GAUUUCUGGCUUGAAACAUUUUGCCGGCCACGGUUUCGUGUGUUAGUGCUUGAUGUUCUGGCCAUCCUUCCAAUCGCUGUGUAUCUUUCUUCAUUGAUUGGUGCAUGGUAUUGGAUCUUUUACUUUGAAAAAAUUAGAGUGUUUCAAGCAGGCUUUAUGCUAUGAAUACAUUAGCAUGGAAUAAUAAUUUAGGACUUCGGUUCUAUUUUGUUGGUUUCUAGGACUGAAGUAAUGAUUGAUAGGGAUAGUUGGGGGUGCUAGUAUUCAGCGGCCAGAGGUGAAAUUCUCGGAUUCGCUGAAGACUAACUUAUGCGAAAGCAUU